RNAcentral lists this ribosomal RNA (998 nucleotides) under Salmonella enterica. RNAcentral's name for it is "bacterial SSU rRNA". It matches the Rfam family "Bacterial small subunit ribosomal RNA", at positions 108 to 1102 of the family's 1533-position model. The record is from RNAcentral. RNAcentral also lists the same sequence under 1 other name. Lineage: Bacteria; Pseudomonadati; Pseudomonadota; Gammaproteobacteria; Enterobacterales; Enterobacteriaceae.
GAGUAAUGUCUGGGAAACUGCCUGAUGGAGGGGGAUAACUACUGGAAACGGUGGCUAAUACCGCAUAACGUCGCAAGACCAAAGAGGGGGACCUUCGGGCCUCUUGCCAUCAGAUGUGCCCAGAUGGGAUUAGCUAGUUGGUGAGGUAACGGCUCACCAAGGCGACGAUCCCUAGCUGGUCUGAGAGGAUGACCAGCCACACUGGAACUGAGACACGGUCCAGACUCCUACGGGAGGCAGCAGUGGGGAAUAUUGCACAAUGGGCGCAAGCCUGAUGCAGCCAUGCCGCGUGUAUGAAGAAGGCCUUCGGGUUGUAAAGUACUUUCAGCGGGGAGGAAGGUGUUGUGGUUAAUAACCACAGCAAUUGACGUUACCCGCAGAAGAAGCACCGGCUAACUCCGUGCCAGCAGCCGCGGUAAUACGGAGGGUGCAAGCGUUAAUCGGAAUUACUGGGCGUAAAGCGCACGCAGGCGGUCUGUCAAGUCGGAUGUGAAAUCCCCGGGCUCAACCUGGGAACUGCAUUCGAAACUGGCAGGCUUGAGUCUUGUAGAGGGGGGUAGAAUUCCAGGUGUAGCGGUGAAAUGCGUAGAGAUCUGGAGGAAUACCGGUGGCGAAGGCGGCCCCCUGGACAAAGACUGACGCUCAGGUGCGAAAGCGUGGGGAGCAAACAGGAUUAGAUACCCUGGUAGUCCACGCCGUAAACGAUGUCUACUUGGAGGUUGUGCCCUUGAGGCGUGGCUUCCGGAGCUAACGCGUUAAGUAGACCGCCUGGGGAGUACGGCCGCAAGGUUAAAACUCAAAUGAAUUGACGGGGGCCCGCACAAGCGGUGGAGCAUGUGGUUUAAUUCGAUGCAACGCGAAGAACCUUACCUGGUCUUGACAUCCACAGAACUUUCCAGAGAUGGAUUGGUGCCUUCGGGAACUGUGAGACAGGUGCUGCAUGGCUGUCGUCAGCUCGUGUUGUGAAAUGUUGGGUUAAGUCCCGCAACGAGCGCAAC